CGUGCAUGCUGUUAAGCGUAUAAGGGGGCGUCGCGCAGCGGGCAGGUAACCUGUGCUGCAGCGGCCGAUUCUCGUCUGCGUGGGAACAUGGUUAACUGGCUGUGCGUGGCACUAGCAGUCGCCACCCUGGUAGCUUGGUACAUAUGGCGCAAAAAGAAAUUCUCCUACCUCGCGAAGAUUGGUGUGCCUGGCCCUGAACCGAGCUUCAUAUUUGGAAACCUCCUGGACAUCAAAAGACGGGGUGCCACAGCAUGCUUUGGAGAAUGGAUAAAGAAAUACGGAAGUAUUUGCGGGUUUUACAACGGAGCCAUCCCCUUUCUUCUCGUCGCUGACGUAGACCUGCUGAAGAAGGUGGAACUUGAAGACUCCCACGAAUUCAUGGAACGAGGGAAUGUCUUCGAGAUCGAGCCAUUGCCCGAUUUUCGUCACAAGAUGAUCAUCACUGCCCCCGUGAGUCGCUGGCGGGCGAUGAGGGCGGUGCUCAGUCCGGCCUUCACCACUAACAAGUUGUCGAAGAUCUUCGUCAUCAUGGACAAGUGCAGUGACACCAUGAUGGAAAAGCUCGAAGAGAAGUGGACAGGCAGCCCAUCCGUGGAGAUGACAUCGGUCUUCCGACGAGCCACCAUCGACACCAUGUUCAAGGCGGGCUACGGUGUCGACCUCAAGGUUCAAGAUAGCCCGCCCGGGGGAUUCUUCGACGAGCUGGGCACGGGCGCGGAGCAGCUGUUGCGCACCGUGCCCAUCUGCGGCGUCAGCUUCCUCGCCAACUGCUUCCCGGAGUUCUACCACUUCUGGUACUUGCUAUCUUGGCUGACGUCCCGGCUCGCGAUGCCCUUCUUCAUGCUGACUACUUUGCUCAUCAGCCCGGUCUUGAAUGAAAGGAAGGCACUGAAUUUGCGUGAAAAGGCCGACGUGUUGCAACUGCUGCUGAAUAAGGAGAGCAGGGGGCAGCUAUCCCUACACGAAGACCACGGUUUUGACGGACAAACAAAGCUAGCGCUAACCAAGGACGAAGUCGUGGCGAACUCUGCAUUUUACCUCAUUGCUGGUAUGGAAGCUACCCCCAACACAAUGGGCAUGACUCUGCACAUCGUUGCACGCCACCCAGAGGUCCAGGACAAACUCCGUGCGGAGGUACUGCGUAUCCUCAAGAGAGAUGGCACGUUUACGCAAAAGAACGUCUCGGAAAUGCGCUACCUGGACAUGGUUUUGAAGGAAAGCAUGCGAUUCUACCCUGGAGUAGUGGGUUUCGUGAGUCGACAACCUGAAAGGGACUACGAAUUUAAUGGCAUGAGAAUCCCGAGAGGCCUCAGCAUCAUGGCAGCAGUGUCCUGCAUCCACCAGGACCCAGAACUGUGGCCGGAGCCAGACAAGUUUGACCCCGAAAGGUUCAACCCGGAGAACAAACCGAACAUCCACCCGAUCAGUUUCCAGCCGUUCGGAAAAGGCCCCAGGGCAUGCCUAGGGUGAAGUUUCACUCUCCUCAAGAUGAAGAUUAUUCUGUGUAAAGUUCUCGCCAGAUUCAAGCUUUCUGUGGAUGAGGAGCACCACGAGAAUGGGCUGCAGCUGAGCUCUGCUUUCAUUGCUUCUUUCGUCCCAAAUGGAGUCUGGAUGAAGCUGGAGAAGUCAG
RNAcentral lists this unclassified non-coding RNA (1630 nucleotides) under Dermacentor andersoni. Its description in RNAcentral is "cytochrome P450 3A24-like". Lineage: Eukaryota; Metazoa; Arthropoda; Arachnida; Ixodida; Ixodidae. The record is from RNAcentral.